This is a long non-coding RNA of Vidua chalybeata, 401 nucleotides long. RefSeq lists it as uncharacterized. The transcript has 2 exons. The record is from RefSeq and is a predicted model, not a curated record. NCBI's taxonomy places the organism in Eukaryota, Metazoa, Chordata, Aves, Passeriformes, Viduidae.
AGAACCUCUUCUGACACCACACCAGUGGUAGCUGCACUACACAAGCAUUAAGGCUCAGAAUCCUUCUGAAAUACUUACCCAAACCUAAACUAGCUAAGCCAUUAGUCUCCAAGCAAAAUCCUCUUCAGCUCAGACAGGUCAUGAUGAUUCUUUAUUGUGGUGAAAAUCAAGAAGUGAUGCUGCUUGGUGUAGUAGAAAAUGAGUAUAGAGGGAGCAAACUUUUCACAUCAAGAAAUACAUAGAAAGAAGAGAAACAGCAAACCAGAAAAUUGAAAAUAUGAGAUCCUGCAGAGAUGUUAAACGCAGUUUUUAUUUUGCAGAGAUUUAUUAUGCAGUUUAAGUUAAUACAGCUUUUCCUACAACUCAAAAGAUACCAUAAAUACUUACAAUGGCUUCCUGAA